RNAcentral lists this transfer RNA (76 nucleotides) under Sulfuriroseicoccus oceanibius. Its description in RNAcentral is "Verrucomicrobiales bacterium T37 tRNA-Phe". It matches the Rfam family "tRNA". Rfam says of the family: Transfer RNA (tRNA) molecules are approximately 80 nucleotides in length. Their secondary structure includes four short double-helical elements and three loops (D, anti-codon, and T loops). Further hydrogen bonds mediate the characteristic L-shaped molecular structure. tRNAs have two regions of fundamental functional importance: the anti-codon, which is responsible for specific mRNA codon recognition, and the 3' end, to which the tRNAs corresponding amino acid is attached (by aminoacyl-tRNA synthetases). tRNAs cope with the degeneracy of the genetic code in two manners: having more than one tRNA (with a specific anti-codon) for a particular amino acid; and 'wobble' base-pairing, i.e. permitting non-standard base-pairing at the 3rd anti-codon position. Lineage: Bacteria; Pseudomonadati; Verrucomicrobiota; Verrucomicrobiia; Verrucomicrobiales; Verrucomicrobiaceae. The record is from RNAcentral.
GGCUCGAUAGCUCAGUUGGUAGAGCAACGGAUUGAAAAUCCGUGUGUCCCCAGUUCGAAUCUGGGUCGAGCCACCA